Molecule: ribosomal RNA, 253 nt
Filed under: uncultured bacterium
Lineage: Bacteria
Description: partial 16S ribosomal RNA
Rfam family: Bacterial small subunit ribosomal RNA
Source: RNAcentral
UACGUAGGGUGCAAGCGUUAAUCGGAAUUACUGGGCGUAAAGCGUGCGCAGGCGGUUAUGUAAGACAGAUGUGAAAUGCCCGGGCUUAACCUGGGAACUGCAUUUGUGACUGCAUGGCUAGAGUUUGGCAGAGGGGGGUGGAAUUCCACGUGUAGCAGUGAAAUGCGUAGAUAUGUGGAGGAACACCGAUGGCGAAGGCAGCCCCCUGGGUCAAGACUGACGCUCAUGCACGAAAGCGUGGGGAGCAAACAGG